This is a non-coding RNA of Miniopterus natalensis, 695 nucleotides long. The record is from RefSeq and is a predicted model, not a curated record. Lineage: Eukaryota; Metazoa; Chordata; Mammalia; Chiroptera; Miniopteridae.
UGUUGUGGAAGGGGCAGGGGAACAGGCCUUUAUGAAGCCCGGGACAACCUUCAGUUCCCCAGAGAACCUCCCCAAGCGUCUGAGCCCCCUCCCGCCCCUCCCCCUACUCACAAAUAGGAGCUCUCAGAAAUGGAUCCGAUACAGCAGAUCCUCCAAUAACUGCGUUUUUUGUUCAACAUAGUUUCCAUAUCAUGUGGAUGAGAUGCCGUAGGGACUUAACUGUUGUUUCUUUCCCUUAGCCUAAGGAACUGUUCGUGGAGACUAUUGCGAAAGAUGCCUACUGCUGUGCGCAACAAGGAAAGAGGAAAACCCUCCAGAGGAGAGAUUUGGAUAAUGCAAUAGAAGCUGUGGAUGAAUUUGCUUUUCUGGAAGGUACUUUGGAUUGAUUGCUGAGCUGGGCACUUUUGUGAACCUUCGCCUGCAUCCUUCAGCUAGCCUUCUGCAGGCCUCAGCUUUGAAGAACAGAGUCCUUGGAAAGUCACACUUACAUACUUUUCCUGUUCUGGCUUCACCUAAGCUGGAAUAAACAGAGGUCUCACCUGUUCAUUUUCCUCUACAAGGUCUUCCACUGCUGUGUCUUCCAUUUCUGGCCUGGAUGCAGCAGCUGCUGCUUGAGGCAGAGACAAAGAAAAUGAUUUGUGUUGGUUGCUUACUGAAUGGUAGGGACAAGAAUAAAGGUCUCUGAUCAGCUUCAA